UCGAGAACCCUAAAAUCCACCAAACGAUCCAAAAAAAAAUGUGGAUUCGGGAGGUAAUUGGCAAUAAAUUCAAGAAAACUACUGUUAUCUCGAAGGCGAAAAGAUCGAGAGCAAAGGGCUACCUUUUUUGAUAAAGCGGAGGACUCAUACAAGACGAAGAACUCUAGCUUGAGGAAAACUCUAUACAGUUCGGUGUUUGAAAUCUCGGAGCCGUUGGGAUUGAGGGCUCCCU
RNAcentral lists this long non-coding RNA (232 nucleotides) under Elaeis guineensis (African oil palm). Its description in RNAcentral is "long non-coding RNA (EGUI_LNC004244)". Lineage: Eukaryota; Viridiplantae; Streptophyta; Magnoliopsida; Arecales; Arecaceae. The record is from RNAcentral.